CCCUGAAAUCGUGGCAGCCUCGCCUGAGGAGGCGGCUCCGAGGUGGCCUUGGGGCGGGGGUCCGUUCCCCCGGGGGCGGUAAAUGGGGUGCCGGGGGGAGCCUGGGGCCUUACCUGCGGCGGGGAGCGGGCUCCAUCUUGGGGGGAGCUCUGGUGGCGUGAGGGGUGAGGGCAGCCGCCCGCCCCGCCUCUGCCUGGUGGCGGGCACACCGCCCGUUGUUUGCACCGCGGCGUGAGGGAGAGAUGUGGCGUUCAUCCGGCAGAUGUGGAGGGGUGAAUCGCCUGCCUGCAUCCGCAUCAGGCCCUAGGGCUGCCCACAAAGGUGUGCAUUAUCCCCUUGCACAGCUGGGGCAAGCAGUAAAGUGUCAGUUCCCUCAUUUCGCUUAAGAUCUAUGUGCGUAGCCUGAGGUCUUAAUGGCUCAAUCUAGAAAUCUGGAUUCUGGUGUGCAGAAGUGAUCAAAGCAAAGUCAGCGGGAGCUUCAAAUACUCAGCUUUGAGGUCUGCAGGCUUGAGCGCAGAAUCCAGGAGCCACUAAAUUAUAGUGCUGGCUUUCAUCCAGGCAGAUCCUUUUGUUUAUUUUUUUCCUUUUUCCUUUUUGCUUAUGCUUAUCAACAUGCAUCCUUUGCAGGAGUGUGGAGUUGUAUUUGUUAAAGUUUGGGAUGCACAGGAUAUUGUGGAUGUGGUGCAUUGUUCUUCUCUUUAUAAUGCAGAUGCUGUACAAUAAACAGAGGAGAGACCAUUAA
Long non-coding RNA from Cygnus olor (mute swan), 742 nucleotides. RefSeq lists it as uncharacterized. The record is from RefSeq and is a predicted model, not a curated record. Lineage: Eukaryota; Metazoa; Chordata; Aves; Anseriformes; Anatidae. The transcript is spliced from 2 exons.